GGAGUUAGCCGGUGCUUCUUCUGUGAGUGAUGUCCUUCCUGCCGGUUAUUGACCCGCAGGCCUUCUUCCUCACUGAAAGUGCUUUACAACCCGAAGGCCUUCUUCACACACGCGGCAUGGCUGGAUCAGGGUUGCCCCCAUUGUCCAAUAUUCCCCACUGCUGCCUCCCGUAGGAGUCUGGGCCGUGUCUCAGUCCCAGUGUGGCUGAUCAUCCUCUCAGACCAGCUACGGAUCGUCGCCUUGGUGAGCCGUUACCUCACCAACCAGCUAAUCCGACAUAGGCUCAUCCGAUAGCGCGAGGCCCGAAGGUCCCCCGNUUUCCCCCGUAGGGCGUAUGCGGUAUUAGCCUGGGUUUCCCCAGGUUAUCCCCCGACUACCGGGCAGAUUCCUAUGCAUUACUCACCCGUCCGCCGCUCGCCACCAGGGAGCAAGCUCCCCGUGCUGCCGCUCGACUUGCAUGUGUUAGGCCUGCCGCCAGCGUUCAAUCUGAGCCAGUGAUACAAACUCUAGA
This 511-nucleotide ribosomal RNA is filed under the name uncultured bacterium. RNAcentral describes it as "partial 16S ribosomal RNA". The record is from RNAcentral.